CCGAGUUUACAACUCCCAAACCCCUGUGAACAUACCACUUGUUGCCUCGGCGGAUCAGCCCGCUCCUGGUAAAACGGGACGGCCCGCCAGAGGACCCCUAAACUCUGUUUCUAUAUGUAACUUCUGAGUAAAACCAUAAAUAAAUCA
Molecule: unclassified non-coding RNA, 147 nt
Filed under: soil metagenome
Description: partial internal transcribed spacer 1
Source: RNAcentral